RNAcentral lists this ribosomal RNA (274 nucleotides) under uncultured bacterium. Its description in RNAcentral is "partial 16S ribosomal RNA". It matches the Rfam family "Bacterial small subunit ribosomal RNA", at positions 523 to 796 of the family's 1533-position model. The record is from RNAcentral.
AUACGGAGGGUGCAAGCGUUACUCGGAAUCACUGGGCGUAAAGCGCGCGUAGGCGGUUUAGAAAGUCAGAUGUGAAAGCCUAUGGCUUAACCAUAGAACUGCAUUUGAAACUUCCAAACUAGAGUGGGGGAGAGGUCAGUGGAAUUAGUGGUGUAGGGGUAAAAUCCGUAGAGAUCACUAGGAAUACUCAUUGCGAAGGCGACUGACUGGAACUUAACUGACGCUGAGGCGUGAAAGCGUGGGGAGCAAACAGGAUUAGAAACCCCAGUAGUCC